RNAcentral lists this ribosomal RNA (465 nucleotides) under uncultured bacterium. RNAcentral describes it as "partial 16S ribosomal RNA". It matches the Rfam family "Bacterial small subunit ribosomal RNA", at positions 338 to 795 of the family's 1533-position model. The record is from RNAcentral.
CCUACGGGUGGCAGCAGUAGGGAAUCUUCCACAAUGGACGAAAGUCUGAUGGAGCAACGCCGCGUGAGUGAAGAAGGGUUUCGGCUCGUAAAGCUCUGUUGGUAGGGAAGAAAGAUAGAGGUAGUAACUGGCCUCUAUUUGACGGUAAUUACUUAGAAAGUCACGGCUAACUACGUGCCAGCAGCCGCGGUAAUACGUAGGUGGCAAGCGUUGUCCGGAUUUAUUGGGCGUAAAGCGAGUGCAGGCGGUUCAAUAAGUCUGAAGUGAAAGCCUUCGGCUCAACCGGAGAAUUGCAUCAGAAACUGUUGAACUUGAGUGCAGAAGAGGAGAGUGGAACGCCAUGUGUAGCGGUGGAAUGCGUAGAUAUUAGGAGGAACACCAGUGGCGAAGGCGACUUUCUGGACUGUACCUGACGCUGAGGCGCGAAAGCGUGGGUAGCGAACGGGAUUAGAUACCCGAGUAGUC